UACGUAGGGCGCAAGCGUUGUCCGGAAUCAUUGGGCGUAAAGAGCUCGUAGGUGGUCUGUUACGUCUGCUGUGAAAUCCUAGGGCUUAACCCUGGGCCUGCAGUGGAUACGGGCAGACUAGAGUUCGGUAGGGGAGUCUGGAAUUCCUGGUGUAGCGGUGAAAUGCGCAGAUAUCAGGAGGAACACCGGUGGCGAAGGCGGGACUCUGGGCCGAUACUGACGCUGAGGAGCGAAAGCGUGGGGAGCGAACAGG
RNAcentral lists this ribosomal RNA (253 nucleotides) under uncultured bacterium. RNAcentral's name for it is "partial 16S ribosomal RNA". It matches the Rfam family "Bacterial small subunit ribosomal RNA", at positions 524 to 776 of the family's 1533-position model. The record is from RNAcentral.